AACGAACGCUGGCGGCAUGCCUAACACAUGCAAGUCGAACGAGACCUUCGGGUCUAGUGGCGCACGGGUGCGUAACGCGUGGGAAUCUGCCCUUGGGUUCGGAAUAACAGUUAGAAAUGACUGCUAAUACCGGAUAAUGUCUUCGGACCAAAGAUUUAUCGCCCAGGGAUGAGCCCCGCGUAGGAUUAGCUAGUUGGUGAGGUAAAGGCUCACCAAGGCGACGAUCCUUAGCUGGUCUGAGAGGAUGAUCAGCCACACUGGGACUGAGACACGGCCCAGACUCCUACGGGAGGCAGCAGUGGGAAUAUUGGACAAUGGGCGAAAGGCCUGAUCCAGCAAUGCCGCGUGAGUGAUGAAGGCCUUAGGGUUGUAAAGCUCUUUUACCCGGGAUGAUAAUGACAGUACCGGGAGAAUAAGCCCCGGCUAACUCCGUGCCAGCAGCCGCGGUAAU
This 451-nucleotide ribosomal RNA is filed under the name uncultured bacterium. RNAcentral's name for it is "bacterial SSU rRNA". It matches the Rfam family "Bacterial small subunit ribosomal RNA", at positions 29 to 524 of the family's 1533-position model. The record is from RNAcentral.